GAUCCUGGCUCAGGAUGAACGCUAGCUACAGGCUUAACACAUGCAAGUCGAGGGGAAACGAUAUUGGAAGCUUGCUUCAAUUGCCGGCGACCGGCGCACGGGUGAGUAACGCGUAUCCAACCUUCCGUACACUCAGGGAUAGCCUUUCGAAAGAAAGAUUAAUACCUGAUAGUAUGAUGAGAUUGCAUGAUAUCAUCAUUAAAGAUUUAUCGGUGUACGAUGGGGAUGCGUU
Molecule: ribosomal RNA, 232 nt
Filed under: uncultured bacterium
Lineage: Bacteria
Description: partial 16S ribosomal RNA
Rfam family: Bacterial small subunit ribosomal RNA
Source: RNAcentral